CCUACGGGAGGCAGCAGUAGGGAAUAUUGCGCAAUGGGGGAAACCCUGACGCAGCGACGCCGCGUGGGUGAUGAAGGCUUUCGGGUCGUAAAGCCCUGUCGAGUGGGGCGAAUGACGAUAUGGCUAAUAUCCAUGUCGAGUGACGGUACCACUAAAGGAAGCACCGGCUAACUACGUGCCAGCAGCCGCGGUAAUACGUAGGGUGCAAGCGUUGCUCGGAAUCAUUGGGCGUAAAGAGCGUGUAGGUGGCUAGAUAAGUCGGAUGUGAAAUCCCUCGGCUCAACCGAGGAAGUGCAUUCGAAACUAUCUAGCUCGAGGAUGGCAGAGGAAGGUGGAAUUCCUAGUGUAGAGGUGAAAUUCGUAGAUAUUAGGAGGAAUACCGGUGGCGAAGGCGGCCUUCUGGACCAUUCCUGACACUGAGACGCGAAAGCGUGGGUAGCAAACAGGAUUAGAUACCCUGGUAGUCCACGCUGUAAACGAUGGUACUAGAUGUUGUGGUAAUUCGACCCCGNAGUGUCGUAGCGUACGACGUUACGUACCCGCCGCGGAGGUAACGGUCGCGAGAGUAAACGUUACGAAGAAGUUAGAGGNGNGAGAGNGCGAGACGACGACGAGGAGGAGG
This 622-nucleotide ribosomal RNA is filed under the name uncultured bacterium. RNAcentral's name for it is "bacterial SSU rRNA". The stretch from base 1 to 544 matches the Rfam family "Bacterial small subunit ribosomal RNA", at positions 338 to 873 of the family's 1533-position model. The record is from RNAcentral.